RNAcentral lists this small RNA (575 nucleotides) under Pan troglodytes (chimpanzee). RNAcentral's name for it is "retained intron". The record is from RNAcentral. Lineage: Eukaryota; Metazoa; Chordata; Mammalia; Primates; Hominidae.
CCUUCUUCUAUGCUCCUGGUCUCAGGAGGAGAGAGUGCUCCUAGGACAUCAGGGGUGGGGGAAAACCGGCAGGGUCUGCUUCCCUGCCAAGUGGCCUCAGUCACCCUCUCCUAUGAUCUUAACGCCCAUCUCAAGGAGGCUUCAGGCUGACCUGGAACCCCCUUUCCUACAGAUGAGCUGCCCACGUGGAUCCUGAGCCCACAGGACCUGCGUUUUGGAGAAGGGGUCUACUAUUUGACUGUGGUCCCUGAGUCUGACUUGGAGCCAGCCCCCGGCAGGGACCUCACAGUUGGCAUCACCACCUUCCUGUCUCACUGUGUGCUCUGGGAUGAGGUCCAGGAGACUUGGGACGACUCAGGGUGCCAGGUGAAGGUCACAGUGCUGGAAGACAAUGAUCCCUUUGCUCAAUACCACUACCUGGUGACAGUCUACACAGGACACCGACGAGGGGCAGCCACGUCCUCAAAGGUACCUGCCUAUGCAAGAUCCACUGAUUAAUCAGCACAUCCCACCCAGCCCUGCUAUGCCACUGUGGAGUUGGCCACUUCUGGUCUCUGGAUUUCAGGUGACUGUCA